AGAUCCUUCCUUCUCUCCUCCUUCUUCAUUCUACACCACCCCCAACACAUAUCCCUGCACCCCGCCCAUUCUUUGCUCUCUCUCCUUUCUUACACUUAACUCCUUCUUGCUCCACAGCCUAACAUGCUGAUUAACAGGACCCCAAAGGUUUGGGUGGGUAUUAGGGGCCUUCUCAACAAAAGCAGCACACUCUUGAGCUUGUUCUUCCUUUUGUUGCCAUCUCAGAUAAAAAGGCCCCAUGAGGGAGGAGACAGAUAAGUAUAGACUUGGUAUUCUGAUAACUCUGUGUUACAUGGGAUCAGAUGUAAAUGAGUUGUACCCUGUGGUGUUUCAUGCUCUGCUGUGUUGUCUUCUCAUGGUGAGCUUUUCUGUGCCCUUAUUUCAUCCAGCUCUGGUUUCUGUGUUUCAUGUUAUUUCUCCUAGCCUCUGUAAACUCUGCAGCAUACUAAUAAUGCUCUGGCUUUCUGAUUAAAGAUAAAUGGCUUACUAUCAUCACCCCUGGCUUGAGGGCCAGCUCACAUGUAAUCCCUUAUAGGAUUCCAAAGUUGUUAAAUAAAUGCAGUUCUUUUUGUCAUUUUGAAGCAUUCAAAAAUUUUUCAAGAAAAGCUAUGAUCAUAUAAAUAGAAAUUUUAUCCAGAAUGUUACAGUGUAGCAUUUGUGAAUAAAUGUGUAGGUGCUGUAUUUGCUCAGACUCUAGUUUGGGUUGUGUUUUCUUUUCCCUUUUUUUUUUUGAGACAGGGUCUCUCUCUGUCAUCUGGGCUGCAGUGCAGUGGUAUAAUCACAGCUCACUGCAACCUCUACUCCCAGGCUCAAGCAAUCCUCCUGAGUAGCUGGGACUAGAGACAUGCGCCACAACGCCCAGCUAAUUUUUAGGUUUUUCUUUCACAUAGACAGGGUCUCACUCUGUUGGCCAGGCUGGUUUCGAACUCCUGGACUCAAGCAAUUCCCCCCACCUCAGCCUCCUAAAGUGCUGGGAUUACAGGCCUGAGCCACCAUACCCAGCAAGUUAUAUUUUCUUUUUCCUUAUAUAGAGUAAAAUAAGGGUGAGUGACCGAGAGGUUGAUGCAUAGCUAGAUCACCAGUUUAAAUGCCUUCCCACACACCCCUUUCCUCCUGUUCCCUCCACCUACAGGUUGUAGAUGAGCAUGAGAGUGUGGAGCAGAGUUGGCGAGUGCAAGUCGAGCCCAUCAACCUGGACAGCUGUCUCCGUGCUUUCACCAGUGAGGAAGAGCUAGGGGAAGAUGAGAUAUACUACUGUUCCAAGUGUAAGACCCACUGCUUUAGCAACAAAGAAGCUGGAUCUCUGGAGGCUUCCACCCUUCCUGAUUAUUCACCUUAAGCGAUUUCAAUUUGUAAAUGAUCAGUGGAUAAAAUCACAGAAAAUUGUCAAAUUUCCUCGGGAAAGUUUUGAUCCGAGUGCUUUUUUGGUACCACGAGACCCGGCUCUCUGCCAGCAUCAACCACUCACACCCCAGGGGGAUGAGCUCUCCAAGCCCAGGAUUCUGGCAAGAGAGGUGAAGAAAGUGGAUGUGCAGAGUUUGGCUGGGGAAGAGGACAUGCUCCUGAGCAAAAGCCCAUCCUCACUCAGCGCUAACAUCAGCAGCAGCCCAAAAGGUUCUCCUUCUUCAUCAAGAAAAAGUGGAACCAGCUGUCCCUCCAGCAAAAACAGCAGCCCUAAUAGCUGCCCACGGACUUUGGGGAGGAGCAAAGGGAGGCUCCGGCUGCCCCAGAUUGGCAGCAAAAAUAAACUGUCAAGUAGUAAGAAGAACUUGGAUGCCAGCAAAGAGAAUGGGGCUGGGCAGAUCUGUGAGCUGGCUGAUGCCUUGAGCUGAGGGCAUAUGCGGGGGGGCAGCCAACCAGAGCUGGUCACUCCUCAGGACCACGAGGUAGCUUUGGGCAAUGGAUUCCUUUAUGAGCAUGAAGCAUAUGGCAAUGGCUACAGCAAUGGUCAGCUUGGAAACCACAGUGAAGAAGACAGCACUGAUGACCAAAGAGAAGACACUCAUAUUAAGCCUAUUUAUAAUCUAUAUGCAAUUUCAUGCCAUUCAGGAAUUCUGAGUGGGGGCCAUUACGUCACUUAUGCCAAAAACCCAAACUGCAAGUGGUACUGCUACAAUGGCAGCAUCUGUGAGGAACAUCACCCUGAUGAAAUUGACACCGACUCUGCCUACAUUCUUUUCUAUGAGCAGCAGAGGAUAGACUACGCACAAUUUCUGCCAAAGAUUGAUGGCAAAAAGAUGGCAGACACAAGCAGUAUGGAUGAAGACUUUGAGUCUGAUUACGAAAAGUACUGUGUGUUACAGUAAAGCUACCACUCUGGCUGCUAGAUAGCUUGGUGGGGAGGGAGAUGACUCCUUGUAGCUGAUACUUGGCAAAAGUGUCACUGAGAGGCAAGCUAAAUGUAGUUAUUUUAUCCUGUUAGAAUACAAAUUCUAAUUAAAAUAGUUAACUUUAAGAGUAGUAGUAAUUUUAUUUUGAAGUCUCAUGCAAGUUGUCUGAUAGAGAACUUUCAGGCAGAUCCCACCAUUAGCCUGUAAACAAAAAGUUUGGCACCAGCCACCUGGGACCAAAUAAGAAUUCAAUUGUGCUUGUCCAGAUAUGAACAAAUAUGUAGUGAGUAUAGAGUUUAUCAAUAAUCAUAACAAAUAUUAAAGAUUUCCUUGGAGUCAAAGUAAAAAACAAAAAAUUGUAAUGUUGUCUAGGGAUGACAUGAUAUGCUACCUCCUUUUUCCUGAAGUUUUAUUCCAUUCUGUUGACAAGAUGGAGAAAGCAAGAUCAUGAAGGUGUGCAAAUGAUUCUUACGGCAUGGGCGAGGAUUUUUCAAUUUAUUUUUUAAAGUUUCCAUACCCUUUCUUUGUCUUUCUUGCUUUUUGUUUUUGCCGUUGUGUUUAUGUUUGAGAUACAACCAGUCAUUGGUGGCAGGGGCAUAGAGUGGUCAGUCUGAAAGGGAGGCUCUCUUAAGAGCUAUGUGCCUUCCACCCAGAGGGAGACCCAGUAGAAAGAAAAACAUCCUGGGAAAUCCAGCUACCAUGGCCCUCCCAGUGGAGGCAUCUUACAUUUAGGAUACUUCAGGUAUCCUCAGAAAUGUAUUCUGCACCCCCCGGCCCCGCCCAUGCUGAGGGAAGGGGAGCAGUUGCCAAUAUUUGCACCAUCUUCACAUGCACAUGUUGCAACAAGAGCUUCUGGGAAGGUAAGCGGCAUCGGAGCUAGAUCACGUUUCACAAUUAGUGGUGGUUCUUUUCCAUGUUUGUUUUGCACUUUAAAAAAGAGAGAACACAUGCAAAUGAACUUGCUUGUGUGUAUUUGAUGGCUCCAAGGGCUAUAAAUUACAAACAAAACACAUCCCAGACAUUAGGAGUUCAUAAGUAUAUUUAAUGAAAUUGGUGGUUUUAGGAAGUCAACUUUAGUUUUGCUUUGUUUGCAUGUCCACUAAUUUUUUUAUUUUGAUAUUAGUCUUUUUUAAAAAAUUUUACAGUAGUCAUUGAAAGUUAUGUUUCUUUGUUUACUUCAUUUUUUCCUCUAAAUAUUCAAGACUGGGACAAAAGUAUAAAUAUUAUUUAUUUCAGGUAGAAUUUUUUUGGUGUAGUUUUUUAAUAUAUACUUGAAGGAAAUGUUUCACCUUAUUUUUGGUCUUUGUUUAUUCAUUUAGACCCUGCAAGUUGAUUCUCAUUAAUUGUCAGAUUCCACUACACUUUCUUCCUCAUAGGUAGUAAUUACCAGUGUAACUAAGCAUUUGUGUUCUGAUAUCUGAGGCCAGUAACUAUUAAUAUCUAGUUCUCAGAGCAUUUGGAAAGGUUAUCUUAAAUGGCUACCUAAAUUGAAAUCCUUUUCAGAAAAAAUAUAAUUGCAAAUAGGUAGGAGUGGCCUAAAUUAUCUAAUGUAAUAAAGUCAGACAAAAUGCAUACUUUAUAGUUCAAGAUUUUCGGUAUAUAAAAUCUGUCCUUUCCUACCUGGACAUGUCCCAUUAAAAAGUGGAAGAUUUUAAAUAAUUUCUUUACAGAUGUUUUAUUUAAGCAGGUAGCACAAUCUACUAAUGUUGUUUGAUCUGUGUUUGUUAUACUGGUUGUAAUUAAUUUUUUUAAUUCAUGAACUAGCGGAAAAUUUAUUAAAUUAACUAUUAACCACAUUCACCUUGUAAAUGACUGUAUAAAACUUGUUGACAAUGCACUGACUUUAGAAAGAUGUUAAUGUGCAUAAAUAGAGUGUAAAUAAAAUAGUGUUGAUGUACUGAAAUAUGAACUGUAUAAAAAGUAUUAGUAAUUGUAUAUGGGGUGUACCUGUUUAUCUGUAACUGUUAUCCAAACAAAUUAAAUACUGUGGAUGCCUUUA
Long non-coding RNA from Homo sapiens (human), 4329 nucleotides. The record is from Ensembl. Lineage: Eukaryota; Metazoa; Chordata; Mammalia; Primates; Hominidae.